This 439-nucleotide long non-coding RNA is filed under the name Rosa chinensis. Its description in RNAcentral is "sRNA RchiOBHm_Chr2g0136371". Lineage: Eukaryota; Viridiplantae; Streptophyta; Magnoliopsida; Rosales; Rosaceae. The record is from RNAcentral.
CCAUUCGAAGUGGGAGCUGUCCAGAAGAGGCGAGUAGCUCUUGGAUUGGCUGAGAAGACAACGUUCUCAGUUCUGCACAUAUAAACUGAAGAUUCAUCCGCUCUUCAUCAAAGGCUGAGUCAGAAGCUCAAAUCAAGCCCAAAGUCAUAACAACAAAUUCGAGCCAGAAGCUCAGGCCCAAGUUGCAAGGCCAGAAUAGAAGCUCACUACAUGUUACCAUAACAAAGGUUAUGAAUCUUCUCAAACUAGGCUCAUCCAGUUGGAUGCGAUGUCUAGGAAAGACUAGCCUGAGCCCAGCAAGCCCACUCUCCCUCCACGGGACCUAGCAACCCAGCAGGCCUCACACACCAUUUGACUUACGCAUGAAAGCCCGGGUCACCAGCCAGCAGACUAAGCUCGAUAGGCUUCACUAUCAAGCCCACUCCUUCUUUGGUCCAGC